GGUAGUAAUGCCUAGGAAUCUGCCUGGUAGUGGGGGACAACGUUUCGAAAGGAACGCUAAUACCGCAUACGUCCUACGGGAGAAAGCAGGGGACCUUCGGGCCUUGCGCUAUCAGAUGAGCCUAGGUCGGAUUAGCUAGUUGGUGAGGUAAUGGCUCACCAAGGCGACGAUCCGUAACUGGUCUGAGAGGAUGAUCAGUCACACUGGAACUGAGACACGGUCCAGACUCCUACGGGAGGCAGCAGCC
Molecule: ribosomal RNA, 247 nt
Filed under: uncultured Pseudomonas sp.
Lineage: Bacteria; Pseudomonadati; Pseudomonadota; Gammaproteobacteria; Pseudomonadales; Pseudomonadaceae
Description: partial 16S ribosomal RNA
Rfam family: Bacterial small subunit ribosomal RNA
Source: RNAcentral